Molecule: ribosomal RNA, 419 nt
Filed under: bacterium
Lineage: Bacteria
Description: partial 16S ribosomal RNA
Rfam family: Bacterial small subunit ribosomal RNA
Source: RNAcentral
UGGGGGAUAUUGCACAAUGGGCGCAAGCCUGAUGCAGCGACGCCGCGUGGGGGAUGAAGGCCUUCGGGUUGUAAACUUCUUUUGCUCUGAACAAGGCGCACUUUGGGGUGUGUUGAGUGUAGGGGUUGAUUAGCGCCGGCUAACUACGUGCCAGCAGCCGCGGUAAUACGUAGGGCGCGAGCGUUGUCCGGAAUUAUUGGUCGUAAAGGGCUUGUAGGUGGCUGGUUGCGUCUGUCGUGAAAGCUCAUGGCUUAACUGUGGGUUUGCGGUGGGUACGGGCUGGCUUGAGUGCAGUAGGGGAGGCUGGAAUUCCUGGUGUAGCGGUGGAAUGCGCAGAUAUCAGGAGGAAUACCGGUGGCGAAGGCGGGUCUCUAGGCUGUUACUGACACUGAGGAGCGAAAGCAUGGGGAGCGAACAGG